Molecule: ribosomal RNA, 238 nt
Filed under: uncultured bacterium
Lineage: Bacteria
Description: partial 16S ribosomal RNA
Rfam family: Bacterial small subunit ribosomal RNA
Source: RNAcentral
UGGAGCAAAACUCAAAAACUUAGUCUCAGUUCGGAUUGUAGGCUGAAACUCGCCUACAUGAAGCUGGAAUCGCUAGUAAUCGCGAAUCAGAAUGUCGCGGUGAAUACGUUCCCGGGUCUUGUACACACCGCCCGUCACACCAUGGGAGUCGGAAAUGCCCGAAGUCAGUGACCUAACCGAGAGGAAGGAGCUGCCGAAGGUGGAGCCGGUAACUGGGGUGAAGUCGUAACAAGGUACC